Molecule: ribosomal RNA, 501 nt
Filed under: uncultured Oscillibacter sp.
Lineage: Bacteria; Bacillati; Bacillota; Clostridia; Eubacteriales; Oscillospiraceae
Description: bacterial SSU rRNA
Rfam family: Bacterial small subunit ribosomal RNA
Source: RNAcentral
AGAGUUUGAUCCUGGCUCAGGACGAACGCUGGCGGCGUGCUUAACACAUGCAAGUCGAACGGAGUGCCUCGGAAAGAGAUUUCGGUCAAUGGAAGAGGUUACUUAGUGGCGGACGGGUGAGUAACGCGUGAGGAACCUGCCUUUCAGAGGGGGACAACAGUUGGAAACGACUGCUAAUACCGCAUAACAUAUGUUUGUCGCAUGGCAGAUAUAUCAAAGAUUUAUCGCUGAGAGAUGGCCUCGCGUCUGAUUAGCUGGUUGGUAGGGUAACGGCCUACCAAGGCGACGAUCAGUAGCCGGACUGAGAGGUUGGCCGGCCACAUUGGGACUGAGAUACGGCCCAGACUCCUACGGGAGGCAGCAGUGGGGAAUAUUGGGCAAUGGGCGCAAGCCUGACCCAGCAACGCCGCGUGAAGGAAGAAGGCUUUCGGGUUGUAAACUUCUUUUAAGAGGGAAGAGCAGAAGACGGUACCUCUUGAAUAAGCUCCGGCUAACUACGUG